RNAcentral lists this ribosomal RNA (468 nucleotides) under uncultured bacterium. RNAcentral describes it as "partial 16S ribosomal RNA". It matches the Rfam family "Bacterial small subunit ribosomal RNA", at positions 28 to 507 of the family's 1533-position model. The record is from RNAcentral.
GACGAACGCUGGCGGCGUGCUUAACACAUGCAAGUCGAACGGAAAGACCCUGCUUUUGUGGGGUGCUCGAGUGGCGAACGGGUGAGUAACACGUGAGUAACCUGCCCUUGACUUUGGGAUAACUUCAGGAAACUGGGGCUAAUACCGGAUAGGAGCUCCUGCUGCAUGGUGGGGGUUGGAAAGUUUCGGCCGUUGGGGAUGGACUCGCGGCUUAUCAGCUUGUUGGUGGGGUAGUGGCUUACCAAGGCUUUGACGGGUAGCCGGCCUGAGAGGGUGACCGGCCACAUUGGGACUGAGAUACGGCCCAGACUCCUACGGGAGGCAGCAGUGGGGAAUAUUGCACAAUGGGCGGAAGCCUGAUGCAGCAACGCCGCGUGCGGGAUGACGGCCUUCGGGUUGUAAACCGCUUUCGCCUGUGACGAAGCGUGAGUGACGGUAAUGGGUAAAGAAGCACCGGCUAACUACGUG